Molecule: ribosomal RNA, 446 nt
Filed under: uncultured bacterium
Lineage: Bacteria
Description: partial 16S ribosomal RNA
Rfam family: Bacterial small subunit ribosomal RNA
Source: RNAcentral
UCCCAGACUCCUACGGGAGGCAGCAGUGGGGAAUAUUGCACAAUGGGGGAAACCCUGAUGCAGCGACGCCGCGUGAGUGAAGAAGUAUUUCGGUAUGUAAAGCUCUAUCAGCAGGGAAGAAAAUGACGGUACCUGACUAAGAAGCCCCGGCUAACUACGUGCCAGCAGCCGCGGUAAUACGUAGGGGGCAAGCGUUAUCCGGAUUUACUGGGUGUAAAGGGAGCGUAGACGGCCAGACAAGUCAGAAGUGAAAGCCCAGGGCUCAACCCUGGGACUGCUCUUGGAACUGCGUGGCUAGAGUGCAGGAGGGGCAGGCGGAAUUCCUGGUGUAGCGGUGAAAUGCGUAGAUAUCAGGAGGAACACCGGUGGCGAAGGCGGCCUGCUGGACUGCAACUGACGUUGAGGCCCGAAAGCGUGGGGAGCAAACAGGAUUAGAUACCCGGGUA